CCAGGAGUGCAGGCCACAGCCCUGCAAGGAAGAAGCCCCUGGCACUUCCUCCUGUUUCCACAUCUGGCCAGUCCUGAGAGCAUGGACCAGGGAGCAGCUUCCACCAGCCUCCAGAGAUGCCUGCCCCUCAGAUGGCCCAGGACCCCUGCCCUGGUUAGGAAGCCUGCCGCAGCCUCCCAGCAAGUGAGCGGCCAGCCCUGACUCAGUUCCCUCCAAGGGCAAAAGUGUGCUAUCCCUGUAGCUGGAAGGGGCAGAGGGGAUUCCCCCCCAUGGCUGGUUCCUGCUCACUCAGUUUGGAUUUUGUGCUUCUGUAAGUGUCACAUGGACACAGGAUUGGGGGCCUGUAUCGACCAAAGAUCUUGGGAAUGAGGAGGCCGCCUUCUGCACAGGUGCGUCUUCCUCACCUUUGAUGUACUCGCAGUUGUAUGAGCUGUGCUUGCCCAGCGCCUUCAGGUAGAUGCGGGCAUGGCCGUGGGCCGGUCUGUUGGCGGUGAUGAGGUUGCAAACAGGGGGAUCAGAAUCUCCUCCUCCCUAGUGCAGAAGGAGUAGCCCUGGAUAGGGACGCGGAUACAGGUCAAGAUGCUGAAUAAGGUGUCAUUUCCGAACGGUGUGGCCACAUCUUACUUUAGGGAUAAAGAGGCAAAGCCCCCAGCCUGACAGUGGCCCCGGGCCCUGAUGGCCGGAAGCCCAGGCCUUUCACCCCCCAGAACACAUGACGGCACCGGACUGCAGCUGGUCCCUGCCCAGCAGCUGGAGGCACUGGGACAGGAGGGCUGAGACACACAGCCGCAAGCUUCCUAGGGCCCUGGUGGGGGCUGCAGCCUCAGGCCAGGUGCUCCCAAGGCGGGUAGCACCCAGUCCUUCAUCUCUCUGCUCCUCCUUCCAGGGUCCGGGAGAACCUGACAGCUCGGGUGCCUGCAGGGAUGGGGCCACUGGAGGACAGCCAUACCUGAAUUGCUUCCAGAAGGCCCAGGGACAGAAGGAGCAGAUUCGCCAUGGCAGGAACCCACAUGGUUGGGGCCACCCUGGUAUAGUUUCUCUCUCCUUAGACUCUCACUUUCCUCAUCUGGAAAAUUGCAGUGUUAACACGUACAGUUUAACAAGCAUGCACUGA
RNAcentral lists this long non-coding RNA (1114 nucleotides) under Oryctolagus cuniculus (rabbit). RNAcentral's name for it is "lncRNA (ENSOCUG00000039639.1)". The record is from RNAcentral. Lineage: Eukaryota; Metazoa; Chordata; Mammalia; Lagomorpha; Leporidae.